Long non-coding RNA from Raphanus sativus (radish), 1090 nucleotides. RefSeq lists it as uncharacterized. The transcript is spliced from 5 exons. The record is from RefSeq and is a predicted model, not a curated record. NCBI's taxonomy places the organism in Eukaryota, Viridiplantae, Streptophyta, Magnoliopsida, Brassicales, Brassicaceae.
UUGAUUUGGGCAUCGGCUGAUUGGUGAGAAGGGCUUCAAAUAAACAUUAUCUCUUGGUUUCUUCAUCUCCUUCAUCAAGCCCCUGAAAGCAACGGCUUUUGCUCCUCCGCCGCAUAUAUCUACUGCGAUAGCUGGAGACUGGUCGCAGAGACGUGGUUCAUCCAGGUGAUUGGAUUUAGUUAACAGUUAUCUCAACGGAGACCAUUACAGUGUUUUCGCCGGUUAUGGAUUCAGGUUUCCAGCGAUGCAGCAUCUUCGCCGGUCAAGAAAUGCCGUAUCGAUAUCGCUUCCGAUUACUCUACAAUCUCAGCUUCUGGUAGUAGUAGCAGCGCCGUCCACGUGGCUUCCGGUAACUCGAACGGUCAGGAGAUCGAUGAGGAUCUGCACAGCAGACAGUUCGCCGUGAACGGACGCGAGACGACAAGGCGUCUCUUUGCUUCAAAUGUUCUCAUCUCGGGGAUGCACGGCCUUGGCGCUGAGAUUGCGAAGAAUCUGAUUCUUGCUGGUGUGAAGCCUGUGACACUGCAUGAUGAGAAAGUGGUGGAGCUAUGGUACUUAUCUAGCAAGUCAUGACGGUGUGUAGUUCUCUUCAAUGGAGUUGAGAGAUGAUACAGUUGUGAUGCUGAGACUGAGAAUAGCAGUAAACAAAUUAUGUACUUCUGAAAUUCAAGUCAAGUCUGAAGCCGAAACUUCUGUUAAUCCAGGUUUUCCAGUUUAUGAAAGCGACUCAAUUCAUGGACAAAUGGAAGUAUGCAAAUAGACUUACACCAGAAAGAGGUGAAGAGAUUAAGAAUUUCAGGUGACAAUGGUUGGACAAAAUCGUUAAUUAUCGUUUUCUCCAGGCUUUUUUUCUUGGAAGAAGGCCUUGGAGAUGGUCAGCUUUGUGUAUUCUUCCGCAGCAGUCACUUCUACACCAUGAUGAAUGUUAGUAACUUUUUUCUUUCCCCUGUUUUUAAAAUGAUUUCAAUAUCAAGAUCUAUACACAACCGUCAAAAAGGUAAUCUUAUUUUAUCUUCUUUUUUGUACUCCUCAUUUUACAGUAUGACAAUGCAAUUUAUGAUCUGGUUACUGAUCAAUGCUAUUUGACUGA